AGUGGAUGGGGAGCAACCUAGUUGUGCGUGUGUAAAGGUAGUGCCAAGAAAAGCGAUGAUCAUUUUGAAAAUCAAUUCCCGGUACCCGAAACCGACACAGGUGGGCAAGUAGAGAAUACUAAGGGGCGCGAGGUAACUCUCUCCAAGGAACUCGGCAAAAUGACCCCGUAACUUAGGGAGAAGGGGUGCCACCGAGAGGUGGUCGCAGUGAAGAGGCCCAGGCGACUGUUUAGCAAAAACAUAGGUCUCUGCAAACUCGAAAGAGGAGGUAUAGGGGCUGACGCCUGCCCAGUGCCGGAAGGUUAAAGAAGUUGGUCAGUCUUAGGAUGAAGCUAGCGACUGAAGCCCCGGUGAACGGCGGCCGUAACUAUAACGGUCCUAAGGUAGCGAAAUUCCUUGUCGGGUAAGUUCCGACCCGCACGAAAGGCGUAACGAUCUGGGCGCUGUCUCGGAGAGAGGCUCGGCGAAAUAGGAUUGUCUGUGAAGAUACGGACUACCUGCAUUUGGACAGAAAGACCCUAUGAAGCUUUACUAUAGCUUGGAAUUGUGUUCGGGCUUCCUGUGCGCAGGAUAGGUGGGAGGCGUAGAAGGUAUUCUUGUGGGGAUACUGGAGCCAACGGUGAGAUACCACUCUCAGGAGGCUAGAAUUCUAACUUAAUUAAGGACAGUUUCAGGUGGGUAGUUUGACUGGGGCGGUCGCCUCCAAAAAGGUAACGGAGGCGUACAAAGGUUCCCUCAGACUGGUUGGAAAUCAGUCGAAGAGUGCAAAGGCAGAAGGGAGCUUGACUGCGAGAAGUACAGUUCGAGCAGGGUGGAAACACGGUCUUAGUGAUCCGACGGUGCUGUGUGGAAGGGCCGUCGCUCAACGGAUAAAAGUUACUCUAGGAUAACAGGCUGAUCUCCCCCAAGAGUUCACAUCGACGGGGAGGUUUGGCACCUCGAUGUCGGCUCAUCGCAACCUGGGGCGGAAGUACGUCCCAAGGGUUGGGCUGUUCGCCCAUUAAAGCGGUACGUGAGCUGGGUUCAGAACGUCGUGAGACAGUUCGGUCCAUAUCCGAUGUAGGCGUGAGAAUAUUGAGAGGAGCCUUCCUUAGUACGAGAGGACCGGGAAGGACGCACCGCUGGUGUACCUGUUAUGAUGCCAAUUGUAAACGCAGGGUAGCCAAGUGCGGAGAGGAUAACCGCUGAAAGCAUCUAAGUGGGAAGCCCACCUCAAGAUGAGUAUUCUGGUGUAAGGUCACGGGAAGACGACCCGUAAAUAGGCACGAGGUGGAAGUGCAGAGAUGUAUGAAGCCGAAGUGUACUAAUAGACCGUCGGCUUGACC
This 1325-nucleotide ribosomal RNA is filed under the name metagenome. RNAcentral's name for it is "bacterial LSU rRNA". It matches the Rfam family "Bacterial large subunit ribosomal RNA", at positions 1561 to 2925 of the family's 2925-position model. The record is from RNAcentral.